Camellia sinensis is the source of this 3548-nucleotide RNA transcript. It is a transcript of the gene named putative late blight resistance protein homolog R1A-3, with no coding region annotated. Lineage: Eukaryota; Viridiplantae; Streptophyta; Magnoliopsida; Ericales; Theaceae. The record is from RefSeq and is a predicted model, not a curated record.
CAUUUUGGAUGCCACAAAGUCUUUUCUGAUCGAACCCCGUCUUCAGAACGCAAAACUUGAGAGAGAUAGCAUAGCACCGAAAUGGGGCUAUGGAAGCAGUAAACAAUUGAGUGUUUGCUGAUCAAAAAAAUGGAUGAGUAUGAGACAGAGGAAAGCGAAAGCGAAAGAGAAAGAAAAAGAGAGAGAAAGAUAAAGAGAUGGAAACAGAGAGGGGAAUUGGGGAGGGAGAUGGGUGAAAAUUAUUCUGUCUUGCAGAAACUGAAGCAUCUAAUGAUCAGUAAGGCGUGCAAUUUGACCGCAGAUCAGAUAGAUCAUAUCGACUCUUUUUACCAUCGGCUAAGAUUCCUAGCAAUCAUUCUCAAGGAUAUGGACGAGAAGCAGCAGCAGCAUGAGCUGAGCCAUGAAGUUAAAAACCUGCCGAUGCAAAUUGAUCAUGUGAUCUGCAAGACAAGACAACUCAUCCGUUCUUUUGAUGUUGAAGUUCCAGGGCAGAGGGACAGCAGCAACAACGGUAACAGUUUUUUUGAUAUUUUAAUUGGCACAACUAUAAUGGAAGAGAUUAAGACGAUCGAGGCAAAAGUGCUGCAGUUUUAUGACCAGAUGAAUCAGAUCCAACUCCUACAAGAUGAUAAGUCUUUCAAUGAUGGAGUCCAACCGUCAAUGUUAAUGGAGAACAGAACCACGGUAGAGGAAGAAAUUAUGGUCGGCUUUGAUAAUGAGGCGUUGACUAUAAAAGAGCGACUUAUUGCUCGAGGGAAGAGGCGGCUACAAAUGAUAAAAGAGCGACUUAUUGCUGGAGGGAACAAGCUGCAACAAAUGAUGAAUUUGUCAAAGCCAAUGUCAAUGCCAAUGCCAAUGUCAAUGGGGAACAGAACCAUGGUAGAUGAAGAAAUUACAGUGGGCUUUGAGGAUGAUGCGUUGACUAUAAAAGAGCGACUUGCCGGAGGGAAGCAGCAGCUACAAAUGAUAUCAAUUGUUGGGAUGCCUGGACUCGGUAAGACUACUUUAGCCACAAAACUGUACAAUGAUCCUUACAUCAUACACUACUUUCAUAUUCGUGCAUGGACCUAUGCUUCUCAAUUGCCCAGAAAAACAGAUAUGUUGUUGGAUAUUUUACGUUCUGUUAAUGUCGUCUUUACCGAUGAAAUUACAAACAUGACCAAUGAGAAGCUAGGCGAAAAGUUGUACAAGCAAUUAAAAGGCCAGAGGUAUCUCAUUGUCAUUGAUGAUUUAUGGGAUAUUGGUGCCUGGGUCAAUCUUAAAAUGUAUUUCCCCAAUGACAACAAUGGAAGUAGAGUUAUGUUUACUAGUCGCCUCAAAGAGGUGGCUAUGCAUGCCUCACCUGAUUGCCAUCAUCAUUGUCUGCGUCCUCUCACUGAAGAAGAGAGUUGGGAGUUGUUACAACGGAAGGUGUUUCAAAAUGGACGUUGCCCUCCAGAACUGAUUGAAAUUGGGAAGCAAAUAACGAAAAGAUGUGGAGGGCUUCCACUUGCAAUUGUUGUAAUUGCAGGACUUCUUGCAAAGAACAUCAAGACACAAAAGUCGUGGAAAAAAGUUGCCCAAAGUGUAAGCUCAUACAUUGUUAGUGAUCCAAACCAGUACUUGGACACACUAGCACUGAGUUACAACCACUUGCCUCGCCACUUGAAACCAUGCUUUCUCUAUUUAGGAGCAUUUCCAGAAGAUCAAGAAAUCUCGGUUGAGAGAUUAAUUUGGUUAUGGAUAGCUGAGGGGUUUAUACAAAAAAUUGAGCAGAAAAGCUUGGAGGAAGUAGCGGAGGGUUACUUAAUGGAUCUCAUUCAAAGAAGUCUGGUAAUUGUUGCUCAAAAAAGGUUUGAUGGUCGAAUUAAAGCAUGUCGUAUGCAUGAUUUGUUGCGUGAUUUAUGCUUGAAGAAAGCCAGAGAAAUUAAUUUCCUAAAGUGGAUUCACAAUUAUGAAGAUUCUUAUCCUCCUCCUUCAAGUAAUUACAAAGCAAACAACCAAUGUCACCUGUGUAUCGACUUUGACUUCUUGGAAAAAUGUGAUCAUGUUCUCUUAGAGUCUUAUUCCCCAGUAGUUGUUCAAUCAUUAUUGUGCUUCAGAAUUAAGUCUGGGAGAGAAAUUAGUUACGGUGACAGUCCGUUUGAUGAUGUGUUCUCGUUUAUUUGUUGCAACUUCAAACUUCUUAGAGUGUUGAACAUAUGGUACAUCAAUGCCUUCAUUUCAAGAGAAUUAACACAACUAGUUUAUUUGAGGUAUUUGGCAAUUAAUUUGAAAAGUUCUUGUGGAUUACCGCCAUCAAUAUCCAAUCUCUCAAACCUAGAAACACUUGUUAUUUCUACACAACGGGGUGAGGUUAUUCUUCCAUGUAAUGUUUGGAAGAUUCCAAAGUUGAGGCAUCUUUAUGCUAAAGGAGGUGCAAAAGUUGACGUGUUUUUAUGUUCUGAAGAAGAAGUAACAGAUCCCAACUAUCCCUUUUUUUUGGUGAAUGAUCACAACCAUCCCUCCAUAUUAGAAAACCUACGAACCAUCACUAACUUAAACUGUUAUGGAUUUAUUCAGGAUUUAUUGGCAAGAACUCCUUUUCUUACAGAGCUGGGAAUUUGUGGACAACUGUUUUCAGAUUCGGGGAAUUGGAUGUUUCUUAACCUAGAAGUUUUAAGACACCUUGAGACUCUGAAGCUAUGCAACAGUUUUUUCCCCAGAUACACAACUACUGUCAGAGAGGUCAAUUUUCCUGCAAAUAUUAAAAGGCUAACCUUGAAAUAUACAGGGAUAGAGUGGGAGGAGAUAUCAGUCCUUGGGAUGAUGUUACCCAACCUUGAGCUUCUCAAAUUAGAAAAUGAUGCUGCCUGGGGACAGCAAUGGGAAACAACUGAUGGUGGGUUUCCUCGACUCAAAUUCUUGAAACUGAAGGAACUUGAUGUUGAGCGAUGGAUCACCUGCUCUGGUCCCUUUCCAAGCCUUCAACACUUAUCGUUGGAACGGUGUCAAUAUCUCAGGGAAAUACCAUCUAGUUUGGGGGAUAUACUCACUCUGCAGCUGAUUGAGGUAAACUUUUGUCAUUUCUCUGUUGAGGAAUCUGUCAGGCAAAUUAAGGAAGAGCAAGAGAGCAUUGGAAAUAAUUGGUUGAAAGUGCUGAUUAGAGGAAUCAAACGUGGGGGCCCUUGAGUAAAGUGUAAUGAUGCAACUUCUAGAGGGAAAGUCAGUGUAAUUUUAGAAAAAGAAGGGGAGAUCAGUGUGAUUGUCAAGAACCUCAAUCAAGGGAUGAAGAUUGUCUUGCUUAUGGCUUCCCUCCCUUGUUCUGAAUCAAACAGAAAUGGUGUUUUCAAAGGUGCUAUCAGAGAAAAUGUACCAAUUAGAGAUUGAGUGUUUGAUUGCGCUAGAAAUUGCUAGUUAAGUGUGCUUUUUAUGUAAUAUAACUGUGUGUGAGUGCUUGUUUGUAAUAUCUAACUACUGAAUUAACCCAAAAAAAUAUAUAACUACUGUUUACUAGGAAAUUGUUGGAGUAUUAUUCUGUCUUGCUUAUUGUCAAAAUAUAAAAAUGGAGUAGAGUUUGUGACUUUAAA